AUGAACGCUGGCGGCGUGCUUCACCCCUGCAAGUCGAGCGAGAAGUUUUGAAAAGAUUCUUCGGAUGAAAUUUAAAAUGGAAAGCGGCGGACGGGUGAGUAACGCGUAGGCAACCUGCCCCAUACAAAGGGAUAGCAUUUGGAAACGAAUAUUAAUACCUUAUGAAACUUAACUAGUGCAUGCUAGGUAGGUCAAAGAUUUAUCGGUAUGGGAUGGGCCUGCGUCUGAUUAGCUAGUUGGUGAGGUAACGGCUCACCAAGGCGACGAUCAGUAGCCGACCUGGGAGGGUGAACGGCCACAUUGGAACUGAGACACGGUCCAAACUCCUACGGGAGGCAGCAGUGGGGAAUAUUGCACAAUGGGGGAAACCCUGAUGCAGCAACGCCGCGUGAACGAUGAAGGCCUUUGGGUCGUAAAGUUCUGUUCUAGGUGAUGAAAACUGACAGUAACCUAGGAGAAAGCCCCGGCUAACUCCGUG
RNAcentral lists this ribosomal RNA (478 nucleotides) under uncultured bacterium. Its description in RNAcentral is "partial 16S ribosomal RNA". It matches the Rfam family "Bacterial small subunit ribosomal RNA", at positions 29 to 507 of the family's 1533-position model. The record is from RNAcentral.